ACACCUACCAGUCAGGGGAGAUACCAUGAUCACAAAGGUGGUUUUCUCAGGGUGAGGUGCCCCAUCGCACUCCCAAUGUGCUGACUUCCACAAUUUCCCCAAAUAUGGGAAACUCAACUACAUAAUUUGUGGUAGUAGAGGACUGUGCUUGUGUCCAUGCUCUCC
Small nuclear RNA from Talpa occidentalis (Iberian mole), 165 nucleotides. RefSeq annotates it as U1 spliceosomal RNA. The transcript has a single exon. NCBI's taxonomy places the organism in Eukaryota, Metazoa, Chordata, Mammalia, Eulipotyphla, Talpidae. The record is from RefSeq and is a predicted model, not a curated record.